GCUCCUUGCUUGCAAGGGGUACUCGAGUGGCGAACGGGUGAGUAACACGUGGGUGAUCUGCCUUGCACUUCGGGAUAAGCCUGGGAAACUGGGUCUAAUACCGGAUAGGACCAUGCUUUAGUGUGUGUGGUGGAAAGUUUUUUCGGUGCAAGAUGAGCCCGCGGCCUAUCAGCUUGUUGGUGGGGUAAUGGCCUACCAAGGCGACGACGGGUAGCCGGCCUGAGAGGGUGUACGGCCACAUUGGGACUGAGACACGGCCCAGACUCCUACGGGAGGCAGCAGUGGGGAAUAUUGCACAAUGGGCGCAAGCCUGAUGCAGCGACGCCGCGUGGGGGAUGACGGCCUUCGGGUUGUAAACUCCUUUCGCUAGGGAAGAAGCCACUUGUGGUGACGGUACCUGGAUAAGAAGCACCGGCUAACUACGUGCCAGCAGCCGCGGUAAUACGUAGGGUGCGAGCGUUGUCCGGAAUUACUGGGCGUAAAGAGCUCGUAGGUGGUUUGUCGCGUCGUCUGUGAAAUCCCGGGGCUUAACUUCGGGCGUGCAGGCGAUACGGGCAUAACUAGAGUGCUGUAGGGGAGACUGGAAUUCCUGGUGUAGCGGUGAAAUGCGCAGAUAUCAGGAGGAACACCGAUGGCGAAGGCAGGUCUCUGGGCAGUUACUGACGCUGAGGAGCGAAAGCAUGGGUAGCGAACAGGAUUAGAUACCCUGGUAGUCCAUGCCGUAAACGGUGGGCGCUAGGUGUGGGGGUUUUAUUUACGAUUCCCGUGCCGUAGCUAACGCAUUAAGCGCCCCGCCUGGGGAGUACGCCGCAAGGCUA
Molecule: ribosomal RNA, 818 nt
Filed under: uncultured Actinomycetes bacterium
Lineage: Bacteria; Bacillati; Actinomycetota; Actinomycetes
Description: bacterial SSU rRNA
Rfam family: Bacterial small subunit ribosomal RNA
Source: RNAcentral